Pelodiscus sinensis (Chinese soft-shelled turtle) is the source of this 180-nucleotide non-coding RNA. NCBI's taxonomy places the organism in Eukaryota, Metazoa, Chordata, Testudines, Trionychidae. The record is from RefSeq and is a predicted model, not a curated record.
CUUCUGGAGCGGAGCCGAGGCCGUCUUCAUCGCCACCUUCGACGUCUCCUCUGAGGCCGACCUGGGGGACAGGCUGCAGAUGACAGCCAGCGCCAGCAGUGACAACGGCGGCCCCGUCACCGAGCGCAUGGUUCACCGGGCGGAGCUGCCGGUCAAGUACGGCAUCUUCAUCAUCCUCAC